Molecule: transfer RNA, 73 nt
Filed under: Neotoma lepida (desert woodrat)
Lineage: Eukaryota; Metazoa; Chordata; Mammalia; Rodentia; Cricetidae
Rfam family: tRNA
About the family: Transfer RNA (tRNA) molecules are approximately 80 nucleotides in length.
Source: Rfam by way of RNAcentral
GGAGGGAUGGCUCAGUGGUAAAGAGCACUGGCUGCUAUUCCAGAGGACUGGGGUUCAAUUCCCAGCACCUACA